GAAUCUUGCGCAAUGGGCGAAAGCCUGACGCAGCCAUGCCGCGUGAAUGAUGAAGGUCUCAGGAUGGUAAAACUCUUUCACCGGGGAGGAUAAUGACGGUACCCGGCGAAGAAGCCACGGCGAACUUAGUGCCAGCAGCCGCGGGAAUACGAAGGGGGCUAGCGAUGCUCGGAAUUACGGGGCGUAAAGGGCGCGUAGGCGGAUCGUUAAGUCAGAGGUGAAAUCCCGGAGCUCAACUUCGGAAUUGCCUUUGAUACUGGCGAUCUUGAGUGUGAGAGAGGUAUGUGGAACUCCGAGUGUAGAGGUGAAAUUCGUAGAUAUUCGGAAGAACACCAGUGGCGAAGGCGACAUACUGGCUCAUUACUGACGCUGAGGCGCGAAAGCGUGGGGAGCAAACA
This 398-nucleotide ribosomal RNA is filed under the name uncultured bacterium. RNAcentral describes it as "partial 16S ribosomal RNA". It matches the Rfam family "Bacterial small subunit ribosomal RNA", at positions 359 to 774 of the family's 1533-position model. The record is from RNAcentral.